GCUGGGUGUGUAAGUGCAGCGAUGCAUUGAGCUAACCAGUACUAAUGAUCCGUGAGGCUUAACCUUACAACACCAAAGGUGUUUUG
Molecule: ribosomal RNA, 86 nt
Filed under: Yersinia bercovieri
Lineage: Bacteria; Pseudomonadati; Pseudomonadota; Gammaproteobacteria; Enterobacterales; Yersiniaceae
Description: partial 23S ribosomal RNA
Source: RNAcentral